ACGUCACGUAAAGCUACGCGAGAACGUUCUCUCCGCUUAUUGGUCAGAUGUGUCUGCCGCGAGAACAGAAAAAGUAAAUAAAGGAAGAAAGUCCACGUUUCUAUGACGACAGAGGAUGGAGGUCAACACACGCCGGUUGGGCCUAGGCCUGGUUAUUUUGUAUUACGUUGCUUGCAUUUACCACUUAAACCAAGUCGUACAGUUUGAAAAUGAAGCGCGGUUACGGCUGGAAAACAAUGUAUUGAUGCAUUGGAGUCGCCGAAGACGCAUAUCCAGGCAAUACAGGAGGCAGCGUGCAUGGGUAUUAUUGAACUGUCAUAUGUUAAUCAGCCGAAGAUAUUACCGAAGAUCCAUCAGAGGAAGAGUUAGAGGGCCAGAGGGUGGCGUGUGUGAGUAGGGGUGAUCUGAGUAUUACUGCAGUGGCUUUUCCAGAUGAUGUAUUGCCUUCUCUGCUUCCCUGCCAGCAUCCAGGACACAAAAGCAGAGGCUAUCCCCCUUUUCUCUUUUUCUUUCUCAAACUAGGUCAGCAGGACUCCUUUGUCUCACUUCAACAAGCUGAGUGGUUUAUAUUUGUUUGUUGGGUGAGAACAUGCGUACAUAUACAGAAUGCGACUUUUCCCCAAUAUUUUUUAUGUAUAGCAGCCUAGCCUACACACAGACGCAAACAUAUAUACUGUAUAUAUUAAACAUUUCCCACUGGCCUAAUUACGUUUCACAUGAUGUAUCAUGGUGGAGAUGUUUAGUAUUAAAAUGAGAAGUCCAAAUUCCCACAUGUGAGUAAUCUAUCAGUGUCAGAUGUUCUGAUGUUACAGUGUAAGUACCUUUUAUUUAUCUGUCAUUUCCCAUACAAAUGCCAGAAAAUGCAGAGAUGAGCCACAAGAGCAACUCAUUUUGAAAAUGUUCCCAAGAACUCUGAGGGCAGGAGAGGAACUCCAAGGAAAGAAGGAAUCCUGGUGACAGCUGUUUUUACAAAGCCUUGUCUGAGGUGAUGCCCCUCUGGAAAAAUAGCCGCUCCAGCCUUCCUCCCCCAGAGAAAGCUGUUUACUGCAAAUGUCUGAAGCACCGGUGACUUGUGAAGCUUCAGGCCUCAGUAGCCACACAGGACUUCUUCAUCAGUGGAGGAGCCAUGUGGUGCCACAUUGCUGUAUGAAGAACAUAUUUUCCUUAUGUAAGUCAUUC
Molecule: long non-coding RNA, 1179 nt
Organism: Monopterus albus (swamp eel)
Lineage: Eukaryota; Metazoa; Chordata; Actinopteri; Synbranchiformes; Synbranchidae
Exons: 4
Source: RefSeq, a predicted model, not a curated record